RNAcentral lists this ribosomal RNA (434 nucleotides) under uncultured bacterium. RNAcentral's name for it is "partial 16S ribosomal RNA". It matches the Rfam family "Bacterial small subunit ribosomal RNA", at positions 29 to 507 of the family's 1533-position model. The record is from RNAcentral.
AGCGAGCGCUGGCGGCAGGCCUAACACAUGCAAGUCGAACGAACCUUUCGGGGUUAGUGGCGGACGGGUGAGUAACACGUGGGAACGUGCCUUUAGGUUCGGAAUAACUCAGGGAAACUUGUGCUAAUACCGAAUGUGCCCUUCGGGGGAAAGAUUAAUCGCCUUUAGAGCGGCCCGCGUCUGAUUAGCUAGUUGGUUGAGGUAAUGGCUCACCAAGGCGACGAUCAGUAGCUGGUCUGAGAGGAUGAUCAGCCACAUUGGGACUGAGACACGGCCCAAACUCCUACGGGAGGCAGCAGUGGGGAAUCUUGCGCAAUGGGCGAAAGCCUGACGCAGCCAUGCCGCGUGAAUGAUGAAGGUCUUAGGAUUGUAAAAUUCUUUCACCGGGGACGAUAAUGACGGUACCCGGAGAAGAAGCCCCGGCUAACUUCGUG